GACGUAGGGCGCGAGCGUUGUCCGGAUUUAUUGGGCGUAAGGAGCUCGUAGGCGGCUUGUCGCGUCGACCGUGAAAACUUGGGGCUCAACCCCAAGCCUGCGGUCGAUACGGGCAGGCUCGAGUUCGGUAGGGGAGACUGGAAUUCCUGGUGUAGCGGUGAAAUGCGCAGAUAUCAGGAGGAACACCGGUGGCGAAGGCGGGUCUCUGGGCCGAUACUGGCGCUGAGGAGCGAAAGCGUGGGGAGCGAACAGG
Molecule: ribosomal RNA, 253 nt
Filed under: uncultured bacterium
Lineage: Bacteria
Description: partial 16S ribosomal RNA
Rfam family: Bacterial small subunit ribosomal RNA
Source: RNAcentral